Molecule: ribosomal RNA, 515 nt
Filed under: uncultured bacterium
Lineage: Bacteria
Description: partial 16S ribosomal RNA
Rfam family: Bacterial small subunit ribosomal RNA
Source: RNAcentral
UAGGGAAUCUUCCACAAUGGACGCAAGUCUGAUGGAGCAACGCCGCGUGAGUGAAGAAGGUCUUCGGAUCGUAAAGCUCUGUUGUUGGUGAAGAAGGAUAGAGGCAGUAACUGGUCUUUAUUUGACGGUAAUCAACCAGAAAGUCACGGCUAACUACGUGCCAGCAGCCGCGGUAAUACGUAGGUGGCAAGCGUUGUCCGGAUUUAUUGGGCGUAAAGCGAGCGCAGGCGGAAUGAUAAGUCUGAUGUGAAAGCCCACGGCUCAACCGUGGAACUGCAUCGGAAACUGUCAUUCUUGAGUGCAGAAGAGGAGAGUGGAACUCCAUGUGUAGCGGUGGAAUGCGUAGAUAUAUGGAAGAACACCAGUGGCGAAGGCGGCUCUCUGGUCUGCAACUGACGCUGAGGCUCGAAAGCAUGGGUAGCGAACAGGAUUAGAUACCCUGGUAGUCCAUGCCGUAAACGAUGAGCGCUAGGUGUUGGGGACUUUCCGGUUCUCAGUGCCGCAGCAAACGCAUU